CGAACGGGGAGAUUCAUCGUCAGCGGCGCUGGCUUCGCGUCGGUCGGCGAUGUCCCGCGGAGUCCUUGCGGCUCGCGCGCGGGCACGCUACCGUGCGCCGAUGUCCGGCGCUCGUCGUCGUGCACUUCUCCCCAAGUAGAACGUCGCGACCCGCUGGGUGUCGGUCUACGGCCCGGGUGCGGUGUCUGUCGCGUCGCCGGUAAAACGGCACGCGACAAACCCUCGGUCGCCCGGCCGGCUGCUCGGCGGUACGCGCAAGGUAUCAGGCCGCACUAUUCACGGUGCGUCGAGACCGUCGCAAGCGCGCGCCACGGUACUCGGAGGUUACGGACUUCGCGCCGUCCCCGGUCCUGGCCCGCUGUUGGUUACAGUACGGUACACCUUCGACAGGCCUGCGAACGUCUCCCGCGGUCUUCGCGGGAGACCGAUACCGGUCGGCGACGCUACUGCUUUGGGUACUCUUAGGACCCGUCUUGAAACACGGACCAAGGAGUCUAACAUGUACGCGAGUCAUUGGGACUUGUCGCGAGACCUAAAGGCGUAAUGAAAGUGAAGGUCGGCCCUGGCCGUCGACCUAGGGAGGAUGGGCCGCGUCGCGAUGCGGCCUCGCACUCCCGGGGCGUCUCGUUCUCAUCGCGAGAAGAGGCGCACCCAGAGCGUACACGUUGGGACCCGAAAGAUGGUGAACUAUGCCUGGUCAGGACGAAGUCAGGGGAAACCCUGAUGGAGGUCCGUAGCGAUUCUGACGUGC
Molecule: ribosomal RNA, 751 nt
Filed under: Nylanderia tasmaniensis
Lineage: Eukaryota; Metazoa; Arthropoda; Insecta; Hymenoptera; Formicidae
Description: partial large subunit ribosomal RNA
Rfam family: Eukaryotic large subunit ribosomal RNA (bases 352-751)
Source: RNAcentral